RNAcentral lists this long non-coding RNA (5481 nucleotides) under Triticum aestivum (bread wheat). RNAcentral's name for it is "long non-coding RNA (TAES_LNC013529)". Lineage: Eukaryota; Viridiplantae; Streptophyta; Magnoliopsida; Poales; Poaceae. The record is from RNAcentral.
UGCAAUUCCUGUUUUAAGAAUACUUGCCCAAAUAAUGGCUGCAUUGUCACCUCGGUCACUUUAAAAUAUGGGCUCCACAUUUCACCUUCCCCUCACACCACAUAUAUUUACACGAUGCAAUAAAAGAUUGUAUGUCAAUCUCAUGCCUUGUUUUGAAAUCGAUUAAGUAAAAAAUGGUACCCUUAUGUGUGCACUUGCCAGAGAGGUGCAUUCAAUACUUCCCUACUUGAGGGGAUCGCAUAUACUAAAUUAAAAUGCAGUGAUCACAUCACAAAUUAUAAAUUGUUUUCUUAAUUUACACACACCGUACACCUGCUUUCCCAAAUCGGCAUUACCAUAUCACCAUAUAUCCAACCUUUAGGCGCAACAGGCAACCUACAAUUGGAGUGAUGGUUUAGUAAGAAAGAACAUUUAGCACAAAGAAAGAUGAAUUUUGAAAGAAAAAAACUUAGAAAAAAUUGAUGCUCGACUCACUACUAAUACCAUCUAAUAAUAUGCAAGAUAGUAAUAAGAGGUCAAGCCAAUCAAGUGAAAGACGUUUGAACUGGAAUUAGACACAUUGUACAUCAUCAAUCAUUAGGAGCUGGACCCCAUAGAAUCUUUUCGGGUUCAGUUGUAUGAUUAGAAUUUGGCUUCAAACUAACUAAACUAAAGAGUUUUUUUUUCUUGUCCACCCUUCAGUUGCCAAAUUAUGAUUCAUAAAGUUAUAGCGCAUCUUGGAAAUGUUAUAAUAGUUUUGGUUACACGGUUCAUGAUAUACCUAUGGAUAUUAUACUGACUGAUAGUCCAUGGUUCAUUUGAGCUCACUUUGGCGCGAAUGCAGUGAUGAAGGUUCGACAUGCAGUUUCGGAUUUCCCUUCUCAUUCAGUGCAGCUUCCCUCAUGAUGUAUGCCACAUGCUAAUAUGAACUUUCUCAUUGUAUAUAAAUUUUCAUGAGAGAAAAAGAGAAAAGAUGCUCCAGUUUUCCUUGCAGCUCAAUUUUCACACCCUUCCCAGGUUAAUAUUCACUAUUUUCUUUGGACCAUCUUUAUGCUGCCUUUUCUCUGUACACACCUCAUCAAAACUGAACAAAGAGGCAUCACAUAGGUUUAGAUGGCGCGUGUGAACAUGGUUUAAGAUAUGAUGUUUCUUGGAGAGAGCAAACUUACCUUUUCCAUUUCAUGGUUUAUUAACUAAAAUAUUGAUCGACGGCACAUUCUGAUGCUUCAGCUUUGUUUUUGCCUUCUUGUCACUUAAUUAGGCACUAUAGUAAGAAAGCAUACUGAAUGAGACUCGAAGGAAUUUUGAUGUCAACUUGUAAUUAGCAAAACUUAAAAUGAUCUCUUUAAACAAGUAUCAGAUUAAAGAAACCAAUAUAGAACCAUAUUAAAUAGGGACUGAGCUUAGCUGGAAGGUGAGAAAGAAAUUACAAUUGCUAUUGGUGCAACAUUACAAAAUUUAGCUUAGCUAUCUAUCAGAUUUCUUGACUCAAAUUCCAGCUAGCAAAGAAGAAGAAUGAAUCCCCAGAAAAACCAUGCUAAACGAAAUAGAGACUCAUCGAUUGACCUCAAUCACAUUAUUUGUUAAAUAGAGACUGAGCAAAGAGGGAAGGUCAGAAAGAAAUUACAAUUGCUAUUGGUGCAACAAUACAAAUUUUAGCUUAGCUAUCUAUCAGAUUUCUUGACGCAAAUUCUAGCAAGCAAAGACGAAGAUUGAAUCCCCAAAAAUCCAUGCUAAACCAAAUAGAGACUCAUUGAUUUACCUCAAUUAAAUUGUUUAUAAAACAUUGUACAUGAACUUGUUUUAAAUACAUGACAAAAUCUAGCUGAGCUAAACCUUCCUGGAAUCUUAUGUGGAUUUUUAGAGUUUAGACCAAGGAGAAAUGGGGAAAUAAUUCAUGAUAGAGGGUAGUGCAUGCAGGAGCCUCCGAAUAGCGGGUAGCCUAGCGAGGUUUGUAGGAAAAAGGUGGCUUUUGUCUCAUCAGUGAGUUUGUUGCCCAAUGCCCGUGCUACUGAUAUAAUGUCGUUCAUGACAUACCUCGCCCAGUUCCAAUUUGGGAUGUCAUCUAAAUUUUCAAGAGCCACAAAAUAUGCUGGAAGAAUAACUACAGAUCAAAUGGACCUCAAACUUUAUCUCACCGUGAACACCACAUAAAUCACAUUCUAACAUGGAGGCCUCAGCCAUCGCCAAGGCAUCUCAUGGAACAUGGGGGAAACUCCAAAUCGAACAGAGCAACACAAAAAUAGGAAUCAGGCAUGAGGAAAGGGGAAUAAGCUAACCUGGGUAAUGGGAUCAGCAGGUCGAGGAGGGUGCCACCGUGCCAGCGGCCUCCACAAGGAUAAUCUUGCACACGAUGUCGCCUCAAGCAAUGGAUCGCAACCACCAGAACCGAAGCACUUGUUGUUCAUGGUUUCAGUUAUGAGAUAUCCCGUCAACUGAGGUACAAAUCACAAAUAGGUCAGCUCACGAGCUAAAGAAUAUAAUCUUAUCCAAGAAAAGACAAAAUAGUCCAGAGCAGCAAAGCUUUAUUAAGUUCUUUACUAAGAAAGCGAACUUAGUAAUUACAGCCCAAACAGAGAAUAAAUGGUUUAGAACAGGCAUAAAUCUGAUCCAUCUUCCAUCAUCAAUAAUAAAGAUAGGAAAUCUUGAAAUCCUUGAUCCAAACAUCAGAAGUCACAAAAGUCGAAGCAAACAGUGAACUGAAAAUUACUCCGAAAAAAACUUUUAUUUUGUUGACUCUAGACGAAGCCCAUGCUUUGUUGUCCUGGCAAUACAACAAAUUACUGGCCCAAGCUUGAAGUACUAACAAGAACGAAUCCCUUUCGUUAUUAAUUCAUUCAAUGAACAGCAGAGAAAAUGGAUGCUUGUGCAGGCAUCGUAAUGAAUGGUACUUGAUUUAGAGAAAUAACUAUGCUAAUAUAUGACUUCGCUAACUAAUCAAUCUGCUGCAAUCACAGUUGGUGCAUAACACUAAACGAGCACUUGUGAUCAGGGCAACGGUUAUAGAUAAGUAAAGAGAAAUUACAAAACAAGGUAUGACGAGACUACCAAAUCAGCCUGAGAAAGUAGAAAGUAGGAUCAACGGAAACAUAACAAAGGAAACAGAAUAAUGAAUAUUUAGUGGAGAUGAGCUAGUUGAACCUACAGGCCAGAGGAAGAGCUCACCGGAAGGUUAGGCCAGCGAAUUUGGGACCGAUCCCUAGAAGGAAGAAGCGAAGAACUAAAGAACACAUCUUGUUCACGCCUAACUAUGUUGUGCAAUUGUGCCGAUGGCCUCGUCGUCUAAGGCAAAUACAUGUCUCCAUCAUAAAUCAAAAGCGUGAACUGGGAGGACUUCUGCAAUUGCUAAGCGAAUCAUGCAUACAACCAUGACAGUGGCUACAAAUUUGAGUUUCUUCACCUCCCGAUGCAAUUACAACAUAUGAUUAUGCACAUAUAUAAUAGUAGUAUGAUGGAUUAACUACCAUCAAGAAGAGAACAUAAACUGACAGAUUUUCCGGUAAAAAAAACUGGCUGCAUUAAUGUUUACCUUUCCCACUGCAUAACCAAAUGUCAUUAACUAUCAAAUUAGUCGCAAAUAAGCCAAAUAUCACCAACGGGUUGCUACCUUGAUGCUUUAUAUUUCUUCUAUGUGUCUUGCUGUCCCCUUCAAGUAACUGACGCGCCCGGUCGAUCCCAAAGGUUGCUAUUUCCUUGUGGAGUUUCUUAUUGACAUAGAUCUGAACAAAAAUGGAGGGACCAAAUAAAUUUCAGAUUUAGGAGUCAGGAACUAACAGUUGUAAAUCCACACCAAUGAACACAAAUACAACCUGAUUAUGUGGCAGACCUUUAACAGGAAAGGUAAAAUCUGUAGCAUAGUUUGCAACUUAAAAUUAUAGGUCACUAAAGUGCAUGCCACAACAUAAGCAAAAUUCAUCUAACAAACCUCGAGCUUGUGUACGACUGUCUUAUUAAGCACAUCAUGCUGACAUGCAAACUCGUGAUUGGAAAAAAGAAGUUACUCUAGCGAAAACUGGUGCUAAGCAGUAAUGGGAGCUAGAGGGAGCACCGCUUCUGAACAUUCUAAAACAAUGAAAAGGCGUGCUUACAUCUAUGAAGCUAAAAAUAGUACACCGAACCAUAUUGAUUGAAUACGGGUAACAACGGAAAAACAAUUAAUUGGAGUGCAGAAUCUGCAUAGAAUAGAACCGGAACACAUCAAUCUAGGCAUCUAACUAGCUUCUGCCAUCAGGGUUGCUUGCUAAUUGCAACAAUAUUCAUAACUGAAGAUUCAAUGAGAACUACCAAGGGAUAAAAAAAGGGAACUGAAUCUGUUCACUCAAUGUGUGCAUGACCUGCAAUGUCCUCACAUAUGAGUAAUUCAUCAAAGAAACCAUAAAAAAUUCAUCAAACAAAAAACACAAAUGGAAGGCAAGCUUACCUGAAUGGGGAUUGCCCGUGACCUGGAUCUCGUCGUUCGCGUGCUGGUGAUCUGCUACUAUUUGAACAACAACUCUGCCCGCUGAUGCUGUCCAAACUGUGCAAAUUUAUCCAUACUAUCCCUGCAAUUGUUAAGAUCAAAAUCAGCAUCUUUUACAACUAAUGCAGAGUAUGAAUUUCUCGGCAGACAAAAAAGGCUUUGUAGAUUCAGUAUAGUUGACACAAACAAAAUGCAGUACCUGCUUUCCUCAAGAACCCGUGUCUGAAAGAUGUGGAGAGAAAAUUGCAAAAUAUGAGCAUUAGUACUUCUUAGGUAUCACAGAAAUUCAAUGCAACUUCAACAAGACCAGCGCUUGCUUUUCACACUAUUGAAAAUUCACGUCUUCCAUAUUUGAUCCACCUUUCCGCUGGGCAAAACAACAAAUAUGUGGGGGCAAAAUAUCUAUUUAUGCUCAGAAAAGAAAUUACCAAAUAUCCGGCCACGAGCGCGUGUGUGAGAGGACCGAGGAGAGAGUGUGCGUGACAGCGAGAGAGGAUGAAGGCAAGGACGUGGGGGCUGAUCUCUCGGGUGGAUGGACGGCAGCGCGAAAGCCGGACGGAGCUGGCCGUCUCUGCAGCCCACGCUCCUCUUGCCGACGAUGGCGCCGUGGACCACCGCUGCGACUCAAGCUCCUCCCGGGGUCGCUGCUGCACGCGUGGAGAUGGAGGCGGGGUGCAGCCUUCCGUGCAUCGCGCACGAGCCCCAGCCUCCUCGCAGCUCCCGAUCCAGGAACGGGUCGAGCCGCCGCCAACCGUCAGAUCGAGCCCGACCUCGCCGGCGCAGGCCGACGCCGGCCGGUGACCCUCUCCCGUCAGCCGCCACACCUCACUCUCCUCUUCCCUCUCUCUUUCUCCCUCCUCUCCUUCCUUCUCUCUCUCUCAUCUUCUCUCUCUGCCGGGGUUCGUGCGGGAGGAGGGGAUUGGGAAGGCGGCGCAAAGGAGAGGGAGGAAGGAGAGGAGGCAGUGCGGAUAUUUUCUAGGGCUCGGCUCACUCCACCCAGAACGAGGUACACCUUAGUCAUGAUAAAAAGCAACUGAUUACUG